UUGAUUGAGUUGAUUAAGAUUUGGUUAGAAUUUGGUUUAGGAUUAGGAUUUGGUUUAGAAUUUAGGAUUUGUCUAGAAUUUGGUAUAGAAUUAAGAUUUGUCUAGGAUUUGAUUUAGGAUUUAAGAUUUAUCUUGGAUUUGGUUUAAGAUUAGGGUUUGUCUAGGGUUUGAUUUAGGAUUUAGGAUUUGUUUAGGGUUUGAUUUAGGAUUUAAGAUUUUUUUAGGAUUUGAUCUAAGAUUUAAGAUUUAUUUAAGGUUGAUUUAGGAUUUAAGAUUUUUUUAGGAUUUUAUUGAAGUCCAUUAGGAUUUCAAUAAAAAUUAAAUUAGAAUUUAGUUGAAAUUUAUUUAAGAUAUAUUUGUGAUUAUUUUAAUAUUUUUAGAAUUUCUUAAGGAUUAUUUUAAGGUCUAUUGUGGAUUUUCUUUUAAUGCCUUUAAGAUUUCUUAUUAUUUCUCUUAAAAUUUCUUUAAGGUUUUUUUUAAAUUUGAUUAAAGCUUAUUUAGCAUUGUUAAAGUUUAUUUAGAGUUUAUUUAGUAUUCUAUUAGAAUUAGGAUUUUGUUGUUGAAAUUUCCAUUCUAUCUUCCAUAAUCAAGUGCUUGGUGCAUUCUUGAGUAAGACUUCACAUAAUAUUAUAGCAAAUGUGAUAUUAGUAAAUGCACAUAAUAGCCAACAAAGAAUCUUGCAAAUGUAGCAAAGACUGUA
RNAcentral lists this long non-coding RNA (700 nucleotides) under Physcomitrium patens. RNAcentral's name for it is "long non-coding RNA (PPAT_LNC005755)". The record is from RNAcentral. Lineage: Eukaryota; Viridiplantae; Streptophyta; Bryopsida; Funariales; Funariaceae.